CGAGUUGGCUGGGCGGCCGCGGCUCGCACCGGUUCGAGAGAUCCGGCGUCGAGUCGAGGAAAGUCCGGACUUCACAGAGCAGGGUGAUUGCUAACGGCAAUCCGAGGUGACUCGCGGGAAAGUGCCACAGAAAGCAGACCGCCACCCACGCGGUGGUAAGGGUGAAACGGUGCGGUAAGAGCGCACCAGCAUCCCGGGUGACCGGGAUGGCUAGGCAAACCCCACCCGAAGCAAGGUCAAGAAGGUUGCACCGGAAGGUGCGGCCGCGCAGGCGUUCGAGGGUUGCUCGCCCGAUGCCUGCGGGUGGACCGCUCGAGGCACCCGGCAACGGUGUGCCCAGAUGGAUGGUCGCCGCCUUGCCGCCGUUGCUACGCCGCGGCGGUGAGGAACAGAAUCCGGCUUACAGGCCAACUCGUCCC
RNAcentral lists this RNase P RNA (419 nucleotides) under Mycobacterium sp. 852002-51163_SCH5372311. RNAcentral describes it as "RNase P RNA component class A". It matches the Rfam family "Bacterial RNase P class A". From Rfam's summary of the family: Ribonuclease P (RNase P) is a ubiquitous endoribonuclease, found in archaea, bacteria and eukarya as well as chloroplasts and mitochondria. Its best characterised activity is the generation of mature 5'-ends of tRNAs by cleaving the 5'-leader elements of precursor-tRNAs. Lineage: Bacteria; Bacillati; Actinomycetota; Actinomycetes; Mycobacteriales; Mycobacteriaceae. The record is from RNAcentral.